CCGACGGUGAGGGACGAAGGCUGGGGGCACGAACCGGAUUAGAUACCCGGGUAGUCCCAGCCGUAAACGAUGCUCGCUAGGUGUCUGGGAUGGUGCGACCGUUUCAGGUGCCGCAGGGAAGCCGUGAAGCGAGCCACCUGGGAAGUACGGCCGCAAGGCUGAAACUUAAAGGAAUUGGCGGGGGAGCACUACAACGGGUGGAGCCUGCGGUUUAAUUGGACUCAACGCCGGAAAACUCACCUGGGGC
This 247-nucleotide ribosomal RNA is filed under the name uncultured archaeon. RNAcentral describes it as "partial 16S ribosomal RNA". It matches the Rfam family "Archaeal small subunit ribosomal RNA", at positions 691 to 937 of the family's 1478-position model. The record is from RNAcentral.